GUCCAGGGAUGGAAAUCGAACCCACUGUAUUCCGCUUACCGGGCAGAUGCCAUGUCCACUAGGCUACCCUGGA
This 73-nucleotide transfer RNA is filed under the name Cordylochernes scorpioides. RNAcentral's name for it is "tRNA-Thr". The record is from RNAcentral. Lineage: Eukaryota; Metazoa; Arthropoda; Arachnida; Pseudoscorpiones; Chernetidae.